Long non-coding RNA from Tupaia belangeri chinensis (Chinese tree shrew), 714 nucleotides. RefSeq lists it as uncharacterized. The transcript has 3 exons. NCBI's taxonomy places the organism in Eukaryota, Metazoa, Chordata, Mammalia, Scandentia, Tupaiidae. The record is from RefSeq and is a predicted model, not a curated record.
GUGCGUGUGUGCGCGCGUGUGCCGCGGCCCCGCCCGCCCGCUCCUCGCUCAGGUGUGAGCGCCAGGCCCUCGGCGGCCCGGCCGGGGUGGGGUCUCCGCCCCUGGAGUUUGGGGGAGGUUUGAGCGAGUGUGCUUGGCCAGGGGCCACCCCAGGAUACCCCUGGAGGGACACCUGAAAGGAUGGGCCCGGGGGAAGCAGGACCUUUGGCCCUCCAGGGCUGCGCCUGGCGUGUGUUCGCGUCUCUGGUAGUGCCAGCCGUGCUUCUUAGGAAAGCGAAGCCCUGUCACCGCCGAGGUAAACUCAACAGUGGACAUGACCUCCUGAGGAAGCUACACUUUCUUGCCGAAGCAGAAGGACCUCCCCUCCCUCCAUGGGAGGAGUGUUGGGGUGUCUAAGACCAUUGUACUCAGGACUCUCCGGAGACUUUGGAGCCUGGCAGUGGAGGGGAGAUGCUGCCUGGUGGAGUGUAAGUCCCUGCCUAGGAUCCUGGUUGCAGAGCCACAAGUACAUUCUGCAGCCUUGUCCAGCCUCACGUCAGUAAAUGGAGAAGACAAGAACAGUGCCCCUUUGAAAGAUUUGGGGAAGAUACAAAAAAAAGUGCACAUGAGAGAGCUUUGUGAAGUGCAAAAGUCACAGGCAUGGGGACCACCAGAUGGAGUGGUGGUUAAGGUGCUGGACACUCCCAAAUGGCUGACCACUAUUUGAGUCCCGGA